RNAcentral lists this ribosomal RNA (453 nucleotides) under uncultured bacterium. RNAcentral describes it as "bacterial SSU rRNA". It matches the Rfam family "Bacterial small subunit ribosomal RNA", at positions 364 to 832 of the family's 1533-position model. The record is from RNAcentral.
UUCGCAAUGCCCGAAAGGGUGAACGAGCGACGCCGCGUGCGGGAUGAAGGCCUUCGGGUUGUAAACCGCUUUUGCAAGGGAAAAACUUAAUGAUGGUACCUUGCGAAUAAGAGGCUACUAACUCUGUGCCAGCAGUAGCGGUAAUACGGAUAGAGCAAGCGUUGUUCGGAAUCACUGGGCAUAAAGCGCAUGUAGGCGGACUCAAAAGUCAGGUGUGAAAUCCCUCGGCCCACCCGGGGAAUUGCAUUUGAAACUGAAGGGCUCGAGUGAGGGAGGGGAGAGUGGAACUCCUGGUGGAGCGGUGAAAUGCGUAGAUAUCAGGAGGAACGCCGGUGGAGAAGUCGACUCUCUGGACAUCUGCUGACGCUGAGAUGCGAAAGCUAGGGGAGCAAACGGGAUUAGAUACCCCGGUAGUCCUAGCCGUAAACGAUGGGCACUAAGUAGAGGGGUUUU